This 292-nucleotide ribosomal RNA is filed under the name uncultured bacterium. RNAcentral's name for it is "partial 16S ribosomal RNA". The record is from RNAcentral.
GGACUACCCGGGUAUCUAAUCCUGUUUGCUCCCCAUGCUUUCGCACCUCAGUGUCAGUCUGAACCCAGAUCGCCGCCUUCGCCACUGGUGUUCUUUCCGAUCUCUACGCAUUUCACUGCUACACCGGAAAUUCCACGACCCUCUGUUCGACUCUAGUCUUACAGUUUUCAACGCCAUUCCCAGGUUAAGCCCAGGGCUUUCACAUCAAACUUAUAAAACCACCUACAUGCGCUUUACGCCCAGUAAUUCCGAUUAACGCUUGCACCCUCUGUAUUACCGCGGCUGCUGGCAC